Molecule: ribosomal RNA, 172 nt
Filed under: uncultured eukaryote
Lineage: Eukaryota
Description: partial 18S ribosomal RNA
Rfam family: Eukaryotic small subunit ribosomal RNA
Source: RNAcentral
UGGUGCAUGGCCGUUCUUAGUUGGUGGGUUGCCUUGUCAGGUUGAUUCCGGUAACGAACGAGACCUCAGCCUGCUAAAUAGUCACGGUCGCUCCUUGUGGCCGGCUGCACUUCUUAGAGGGACUAUUAGCGUCUAGCUAAUGGAAGUAUGAGGCAAUAACAGGUCUGUGAUG